RNAcentral lists this ribosomal RNA (468 nucleotides) under uncultured bacterium. Its description in RNAcentral is "partial 16S ribosomal RNA". It matches the Rfam family "Bacterial small subunit ribosomal RNA", at positions 28 to 507 of the family's 1533-position model. The record is from RNAcentral.
GACGAACGCUGGCGGCGUGCUUAACACAUGCAAGUCGAACGGAAAGGCCCUGCUCUUGCGGGGUGCUCGAGUGGCGAACGGGUGAGUAACACGUGAGUAACCUGCCCUUGACUUUGGGAUAACUUCAGGAAACUGGGGCUAAUACCGGAUAGGAGCUCUUGCUGCAUGGUGGGGGUUGGAAAGUUUCGGCGGUUGGGGAUGGACUGGCGGCUUAUCAGCUUGUUGGUGGGGUAGUGGCUUACCAAGGCUUUGACGGGUAGCCGGCCUGAGAGGGUGACCGGCCACAUUGGGACAGAGAUGCGGCCCGGAGGGCUACGGGAGGCAGCAGUGGGGAAUAGUGCACAAUGGGCGGAAGCCUGAUGCAGGAGCGCCGCGUGCGAGAUGACGGCCUUCGGGUUGUAAACCGCUUUCGCCUGUGACGAAGCGUGAGUGACGGUAAUGGGUAAAGAAGCACCGGCUAACUACGUG